RNAcentral lists this small RNA (144 nucleotides) under Camellia sinensis. Its description in RNAcentral is "transcribed RNA". The record is from RNAcentral. Lineage: Eukaryota; Viridiplantae; Streptophyta; Magnoliopsida; Ericales; Theaceae.
GUUAACUAUAGGAUUUGCCACUAACUAUGAUUCUGAAUAGCGGGUAAUGUUUUACUCUUACAAUAAAAUCAUGUCAUGUGUCUCACUACUUCAAAUAGUUUGCCACCAUUUAGGGCAUUUCAAUGAAUUAGAUACUCAUAACGC